Long non-coding RNA from Hydractinia symbiolongicarpus, 984 nucleotides. RefSeq lists it as uncharacterized. The transcript has 2 exons. NCBI's taxonomy places the organism in Eukaryota, Metazoa, Cnidaria, Hydrozoa, Anthoathecata, Hydractiniidae. The record is from RefSeq and is a predicted model, not a curated record.
UAGUCAAAAGUAUACAAAGAAAGUACCCAGGUAUUAAACUCAUUUCCAGAACGAUUUUUUAAAUUAUUGCGAUGCAAUUGAGCUUUGCGAGCGAAGCGAGCGAAGCGAAAUUGUGGAGCACGUUUGCUACACGCGAGGUAUACCAAGAGAAUUAUUGAGAUUCUCAAAAUUUCGAUAGAAAAAAAAUCAUAUAAAAUCAGCGUAAAGAAAUAGGACUGAUAUUUUUGCACAUAAAGCUAGGGUAUUUUUUUUUCUAAUAAAACAAAUAAGUUUGGACCGAGGGGUUAAAGUAUAAGUUUAGUAAAAAAUGCAAUAAGUACGGCUCGUACCCCCCCACCCCCGGAUUUUGACCCCCCCCCCCGUCUUUUGGUCCGGAUUAUACGUCCGCCGAACUUGAACACACAAAGAGAAAUAUGCCGUGAACAAGAAACGGUAGUCGGCAUUUUAGACACGUAUAUUUUACAGACCCAAAAUAUGCCUUAUUUCUUUGUAUUAUAGCUAAUUAUUGUAUAAAUAAUUAAUUAAUUACUUUGCAAUUUUGCUUCUUAUACUAUUAUAGUUGUAUUUUAAUGAAACAUAAUAGUAUUAAAACGGUUUUCUUCUUUCGAAAAAAUUUAUUGCUAGUCCUGUUUUUAAUCGACUUUACUUGUGUAUUUUAAGCUUUUUUGUUGCUGUGCUUUUUCUGGAGAUUUUAGUUGGAUUGGAAAGCUCCUGUGUAAGGUACCCAUUCCUAAAGAAAAAUUGAAGUAAUUUGUACAAUUAAAACGCGCCGAGCUGUGUUUUAUUUUAUUGUUUCUAAGAGGAUGUAAGAAUACAAUAUUAUCAAUUUUAAUUGGUUUUAUCCAAAUCAAGAUUGUGUACAAUGGGAGUGAGUGAUGUAAUCUUCUAAUGCGUGUGGUGAAAAGAAGGCGAAUCCGUUAUUGUUUUUCUGCCCAAAUUUGAAGCUAUUUAAUAAAUCUUGAUAAAGUUAAAAAACUGUUUUGA